UACGUAGGGGGCAAGCGUUAUCCGGAAUUACUGGGUGUAAAGGGAGCGUAGACGGUAAUGUAAGUCUGGAGUGAAAGGCGGGGGCCCAACCCCCGGACUGCUCUGGAAACUAUGUUACUAGAGUGCAGGAGAGGUAAGCGGAAUUCCUAGUGUAGCGGUGAAAUGCGUAGAUAUUAGGAGGAACACCAGUGGCGAAGGCGGCUUACUGGACUGUAACUGACGCUGAGGUUCGAAAGCGUGGGUAGCAAACAGG
This 253-nucleotide ribosomal RNA is filed under the name uncultured bacterium. RNAcentral's name for it is "partial 16S ribosomal RNA". It matches the Rfam family "Bacterial small subunit ribosomal RNA", at positions 524 to 776 of the family's 1533-position model. The record is from RNAcentral.